This 274-nucleotide ribosomal RNA is filed under the name uncultured bacterium. Its description in RNAcentral is "partial 16S ribosomal RNA". It matches the Rfam family "Bacterial small subunit ribosomal RNA", at positions 523 to 796 of the family's 1533-position model. The record is from RNAcentral.
AUACGGAGGGUACAAACGUUGUUCGGAAUUACUGGGCAUAAAGAGCACGUAGGCGGCCUACUUAGUCGGAUGUGAAAGCCCUCGGCUCAACCGAGGAACUGCACUCGAAACUGGUAGGCUUGAGGAUGGCAGGGGUAAGUGGAACUCCAGGUGGAACGGUGAAAUGUGUAGAUAUCUGGAGGAACACCGGUGGCGAAAGCGGCUUGCUGGACUAAUACUGACGCUGAGGAGCGAAAGCGUGGGGAGCGAACGGGAGUAGAAACCCCGGUAGUCC